UCUCACCUGUAGAGCUGUUUAUCCAUUUAGAUUGUCUUAGUGUCAAGGUCUGAGACAUCGGCCGUAGAGACGUUGGUGUUCUCUGUAACAUAAUUAGAUGGAUUGAAUACGGGUGAUCUGGAAACAGCGAAGACAUUCAGUCCUAUGAAAGUUGCUCAAUAUCUCCCAGACUUGGCAUCUCUCAGCACCAAAACGACCUGGAUGGAUGAACAGCACUGCAGCGACUGUUGAAGGAGAUGCUCAAACAUGACCCGCUGCAGAGGAGUUUCUGUCGGCACACAGUGUGUUUGUCCUCUCUACGUCCACCUUCACGCUCGCCCAUCAACGCUGCCAACAGACAGCCGCGCAAUCCAUGGAUGCCACUUCCUUUGAUAUGGAAAAUGCUGCAACCCUGAGGUGUCAGAAUCGUUUAUGGACAAAGAAACUUCACCAGACUUUCCCAUCAGCAUGUGUGGGGAAGUUCCUGCUCGUCCUUUCUGAAAUAAGAGGAAAUGAAGGAUGGGACUUUGGGCUUCCGAGGCCGUGACCCUCGCAGUCCCACAGCAAGGCUCCCUGGGAUAUGUAGGCGCCUCCGGACUCGGGGACACCAGGGGGUCUCCCCUCGUCGGGAAGGAUGGCAUAUUUGUCCCAGGUCGAAGGCUGAUGUUUGGGCAGAACUCUGAUUUUCUGGGACCAGCUCGAGGAACAUCCUUGUCCGAAGAACAACAGCAUCACUUGCCCUAAAACGAUAAAGUCAGGGUGGAUGAACGGGUCAACAAAAUGCUGGACAUCAACAUGGGUGUGUUUCUUCCUCUCCCGUGCUCUCUCACUUCUUUCGCUUCCCGGAUCUCGCCACCUCGUCUUCCCGACACCUGCCUCUCUCUCUCUCUCUCUCUCUCUCUCUUCUUCCUCCUCUCACUUUCCAGAAGCUACUCCACCGUGUCCCAGAGGACGGACUGUGAAAGAAAUGCGGUGCGAGGAUGCUACAACCCAUAUCUGCAAAUCCACCAAUCAGAGUCCAGCAGUGCUGCAUCAUGGUCCAUUCGUGUGACAGGAAAUGGACGAGUUGUGCAGAUGAAAGGGGGUUCAGGCCACGUGGCGGCGGCCACACUGGAGCCUCAGUCCUCUGUGUCUGUCGCUGACUCGCCCCGUCCGUCCAUCUGUCCCCGCGCCCUCAAAGGGACGUUUGUCCCGCCACAAGGGUCGUUCAGAGCGCACGCACACACAUACAGAUGAAGGCAGAAAGAAGCGCACCCUCUUCUGACCGGACAAAUGGACACUCGGUGACUCUGAGAGAGGCACUUCAGGAGCACUCUCAUCGCCUCGCACAAUGGAGGUGGAGGACUUUGUUUUUAAGACUGAGACAGAGGACAAAACAGACGAAGAGCAAAGCUUCUGUUCUUUUUGUGAUUUUAUUUAGAUUAAUGUCACAGUCAUCAACAUACAGCGUCUGGGGUGUUGCAGUCAGAUUAGUAACUUUUCUCUCAACAGUCCGUUAUUAUUCUGACAAAGUCAGGACAAUGUCCUCAUGUGAAAACCAUAUAACUCCAGACAGUCAGCUUUUCAUGAGCUGCUUUUGGACAAAAUUAAAUGUUAUUUCAUUUGCUGAAGUUUGCAGAAAUGUACACUACCAACAUUCAUUGUAUUAUUGAACAUUUUGCAGAUAAUCUAAUCCAUUUUUUUUAAAUAAUCAAUCAUCCAAUUUGGAGAUACAUGGUUUUCACUGGACACAGACAAUAUGUAAUACAUCAGAUUGCUUUGCCGUGAAGGAGACCGCAUCGACUUUGUUCAGGAUUUGGUGUUCCACCAUCCUAACAUGCUUUUGACAGACAGGCAGAACAAAACAGCAAUAAAAACGAUGCUUUUCUCAAUGUAGUCUGGCAUUAAAAACCUUUAUAAACA
Acanthopagrus latus (yellowfin seabream) is the source of this 1881-nucleotide long non-coding RNA. RefSeq lists it as uncharacterized. Lineage: Eukaryota; Metazoa; Chordata; Actinopteri; Spariformes; Sparidae. The transcript has 9 exons. The record is from RefSeq and is a predicted model, not a curated record.